GAUGAACGCUGGCGGCGUGCCUAAUACAUGCAAGUCGAGCGAACAGACGAGGAGCUUGCUCCUCUGACGUUAGCGGCGGACGGGUGAGUAACACGUGGAUAACCUACCUAUAAGACUGGGAUAACUUCGGGAAACCGGAGCUAAUACCGGAUAAUAUAUUGAACCGCAUGGUUCAAUAGUGAAAGACGGUUUUGCUGUCACUUAUAGAUGGAUCCGCGCCGCAUUAGCUAGUUGGUAAUGUAACGGCUUACCAAGGCAACGAUGCGUAGCCGACCUGAGAGAGUGAUCGGCCACCCUGGAACUGAGACACGGUCCAGACUCCUACGGGAGGCAGCAGUAGGGUAUCUUCCGCAAUGGGCGAAAGCCUGACGGAGCAACGCCGCGUGAGUGAUGAAGGUCUUCGGAUCGUAAAACUCUGUUAUUAGGGAAGAACAAAUGUGUAAGUAACUAUGCACGUCUUGACGGUACCUAAUCAGAAAGCCACGGCUAACUACGUG
Molecule: ribosomal RNA, 497 nt
Filed under: uncultured bacterium
Lineage: Bacteria
Description: partial 16S ribosomal RNA
Rfam family: Bacterial small subunit ribosomal RNA
Source: RNAcentral